GUUUUUAUGGUGUAACUAACAUAUUGAAUUUUCCUUUCAAAGAUUAAUUUAAAAAUUGGAGCUA
This 64-nucleotide transfer RNA is filed under the name Tigriopus japonicus. Its description in RNAcentral is "tRNA-Glu". Lineage: Eukaryota; Metazoa; Arthropoda; Copepoda; Harpacticoida; Harpacticidae. The record is from RNAcentral.